GGGGGAUUAUAUUAUAUUGAUGCAUAGGGUGCAUUGUUAGUCGUUAGAUUCAGUAAAGCUUUAACAUCCAACAGUAUACAUAGUCCAUCAAAGAACACUUACCGCGGUUGUUCGUGGUAGAAUCCACAUAUUUCACCAUUUUAUAUUUAUGUCCUGUCAAAUUUUGUACAGUUUAACCAUCAUGAUUUUUUGACAAAAACUACACUUUGUAGAUUCACAAAAUCAGAGUAGCUUACCGAGAUUUUGGAAUCCCAUUGCUCAUCCAAACAUUAUCCACAGGGAGCACACACAGCUCGAUCGAACAUUAUAUCAUGCAACAACUCGAGUGGCUAUAACAUUAUAUCAAUAUCAACUUGUGGAUUAUGAUUUGAAGCAUGUAGUACCAAAAUACCGAAGCUUCUAAACAUGAGGAUCAGGUUCCCUUUUUGAACAUAAUGAGAAUCUAGCAUCUAAACUCAGUUGUUUAACAUUAUCAUAUAAAAGUCUCAAAUUUCAAAAAUCAAUGUUCGAAAUAAAAAAAAAACUUCAAACAGCUUUUCUGACAGCACAACAUACCAGUAAACAAUACUAAAAACAAAAGAUAAAGCAAAAGAAAUUAAUCUGUUCAGUCUAAUGCAACUAUACUACAAUCGUAAAUAAUUGUAAACGCACUAGCUUCUUGAAGAUACAGUGUUACAAAACUUCAGCCUAUUCUCACAAGAGGAUUUCUGCCAACAGAAACAAAAUUGCCGGAUGUGGUUCCAAUCAUUAUCUUAAAGAUUCACAUCUUCAUUUUGUUGAGAUCCUGCAAUAUGAAACCAAAAAGGAUGCAUUAGAACAUGUCCAAACUUACCUUAUGCAUUUUGCUUUUUUCCCCAAUCCCCAUUGCACCUUCUCUAAUAAAACACCAAUUGCAGAACUUUUUUAACUAGUAUUCAAUUCUGUGAAGUGAGAUUUGAAAAUCCAUUUAUGACAAGAGAGACAUUAACAAACAGUGACAUACAUUUUGCAAAUCCUUCAUUUUGACUUGAAUA
RNAcentral lists this long non-coding RNA (1013 nucleotides) under Trifolium pratense (red clover). Its description in RNAcentral is "long non-coding RNA (TPRA_LNC004231)". Lineage: Eukaryota; Viridiplantae; Streptophyta; Magnoliopsida; Fabales; Fabaceae. The record is from RNAcentral.